RNAcentral lists this ribosomal RNA (504 nucleotides) under uncultured bacterium. Its description in RNAcentral is "partial 16S ribosomal RNA". It matches the Rfam family "Bacterial small subunit ribosomal RNA", at positions 29 to 523 of the family's 1533-position model. The record is from RNAcentral.
AUUGAACGCUGGCGGCAGGCCUAACACAUGCAAGUCGGACGGUAGCACAGAGAGCUUGCUCUCGGGUGACGAGAGGCGGACGGGUGAGUAAUGUCUGGGGAUCUGCCCGAUCGAGGGGGAUAACCACUGGAAACGGUGGCUAAUACCGCAUAACGUCGCAAGACCAAAGAGGGGGACCUUCGGGCCUCUCACUAUCGGAUGAACCCAGAUGGGAGUGGCUAGUAGGCGGGGUAACGGCCCACCUAGGCGACGAUCCCUAGCUGGUCUGAGAGGAGGACCAGCCACACUGGAACUGAGACACGGUCCAGACUCCUACGGGAGGCAGCAGUGGGGAAUAUUGCACAAUGGGCGCAAGCCUGAUGCAGCCAUGCCGCGUGUAUGAAGAAGGCCUUCGGGUUGUAAAGUACCUUCAGCGGGGAGGAAGGCGAUGUGGUUAAUAACCGCAUUGAUUGACGUUACCCGCAGAAGAAGCACCGGCUAACUCCGUGCCAGCAGCCGCCGUAA